This is a long non-coding RNA of Lactuca sativa (garden lettuce), 1141 nucleotides long. RefSeq lists it as uncharacterized. NCBI's taxonomy places the organism in Eukaryota, Viridiplantae, Streptophyta, Magnoliopsida, Asterales, Asteraceae. The record is from RefSeq and is a predicted model, not a curated record.
UUCACCGUCUUUGUAACCCAAUCAAAUUAAAAUCGGUGUCAUUCUUCUUCACCGCCUAUCUGUUGGUUACUUUAUUUUGCUCUCAGAUUUUACUUUCCGAUAUUCCACCACCGCUCACUUUAUCCUCCCCAAAUCGAGUUCCUCCCUUCUUCUACCUUUUGCUACCUCCGCCGCUUCUCAGCUGUGCUUUGCCAAAAUUUUCAGUCGAGGAUUUCCACUACCUCCACUGCUUCUUAGUUGCAUUGUGCUUUGCCAAAAUUCUCAGUCGGGGAAUUCCAAAUUUCAAGCCUUGCGAUUUUGGUGGAAAAGUAUUGGUUCACAACAAACCUAGAUCGAUUAUUGAGAUGCUUCUCGAACCUUUUGAUAACCACCCCACCGAUUCAUUGAUUGUUCUCCACCGCCUUAUCUCAUGUAUUUGAUUUUUUUCUCACUGCCUCCAUCAGAGGCUCACACGCUCUCCACCGGUCAUCCUCCUACUACAGACUUUUUUUUUCUCUUCAUCCCUCUCUCUCUCUCUCUGCAAUCGAUUCGAUUUUGCUUCUCUUCUACUUUCAUUUUCCUCUCUUACUCCAUUUCUGCUGUAAUAGAAUCCUUAGAGAUAUAAAAAUGUCGAUCCCUUCCACUCAUGUCGUCUUUUCUGUGCCCUUUUAUUCCAACUCGAAUCUCAGGUCUCAUCGGUAAGGUAAGGAAGUAACAUAGCUUCAAACCUAGGAGCCAAAGUUAGAACCACUUACUACUAUUUGUCGAUUUUCUGUAUCUGGUCGUCGUCACCAUCAAACCCAAUUUUUCACUGGGUUUUUAUUUUUGUCGCAAGUUACUUUUGCAGUUGUUGCACACACCAACUGCUGGAUAUAUUGCUCCAAAGAAUAAUCAUCUUUUUACUUUCUUUUGAUGCCAUUAUAUAAUGUUUCAUUUCAUGAUUUCAAUACAGGUAUGUGACAGAACAGGAGAAUAAAAUUCUCUCUAAUUUAGGUUAGCACUAUCGAGAGGACACCAUCAAUGACUUUACUGAGUUAAAUACUUCUUGGGGCUUUUCACUUUUGUUAAAAAUCAAACACAUUUAUCUAAAAAUAUGUCAUUUUUAACAUGUUGGUAUUUUUUAAAGAACACCUUAAAUAAAAUGAUCUUUCCUUUGUAUUCA